RNAcentral lists this unclassified non-coding RNA (145 nucleotides) under soil metagenome. RNAcentral describes it as "partial internal transcribed spacer 1". The record is from RNAcentral.
UAGUAAGUGUUUUAUGGCACUUUUUAAAUCCAUAUCCACCUUGUGUGCAAUGUCAGUCGAUCUUCUUCAUGGAGAUCGACCAAACAUCAACCUUUAUUUUUUAACUCUUUGUCUGAAAAAUAUUAUGAAUAAACAAUUCAAAAUA